Long non-coding RNA from Drosophila miranda, 902 nucleotides. RefSeq lists it as uncharacterized. The record is from RefSeq and is a predicted model, not a curated record. The transcript has 4 exons. Lineage: Eukaryota; Metazoa; Arthropoda; Insecta; Diptera; Drosophilidae.
GAAAGUAGGGUGCACAUGCCAAGCUGCCCCAAAAAUUAAGAUCAGUGUGCCGAAAAGCCGAAAGAUCUGUGGUUCUCCAAGGAUAAACCCGGUUUCAAGCCCCAAACGGGGUCUGAGCUUUGCCAGUCGAUCUCGGUUUCUCCAGUGUAAUUUAAUAUUGACGAAAGUUAUCCAACGGAGGUCAAACUUCUGCCGCACAACGAAAAUUUGCGAUCAACCUUAUUUUUGACCUUGGCAGAGGACAUACAGUUGCCUCUGAAAUUCUAUGUCGUGGCCUGGAUAGGCACAGACAUAUCCAUAUCGGAUGUCUUCAAGGAAAAGGAUUGACACACACACACACACACACUGAAUUCAACCGACACAUCAAUGCAUGCAGGCCUGUUGCAGCGAUGGAAAACCAAACGUUAGCACCAGAAUCUCUUGUAUGUGUUUAGCUGGAACAACUGAAAGAUCCCCCCCAUCCGACGAGCCCUAGCCGAAAGAUCCCACACAGUGCUAACCAUAACAUCUAUGCAAGUUGUCUAGUUUGUGGAAUGCGUCUCGAAAGCUACCACACCAGAACACCGGGACACAUUACAAAAGUGGCGCCCAACGUGGGGCACGAUACAACAACAACCGUAACAAAACUUUGUGUCUCAGUUAUUGUCAGCAUAUAGAAUUUUUGCUUUUGUUUCCUUUCUGGAAAACUGCAAUGGUUGGUGCAAGUCACAGUCCAUUCUGUCCGAAACGAUGAGGGAGCAUCGGGUCUAUAUGCGUGCCAGGAGCUAAGUGGAAGAAAAUUGUAUUAAUGUCUGUGGAAAUCUUUAAGAUUUAGAAUGCUAGUCAUUAAAUCUUGCUGCCCGGAACAAUUGGUAUAUUUUUUUUCUGAAGCUUCAGCUCGUGUUGAAGACAAUAUUUUUUUG